This 496-nucleotide ribosomal RNA is filed under the name uncultured bacterium. RNAcentral describes it as "partial 16S ribosomal RNA". It matches the Rfam family "Bacterial small subunit ribosomal RNA", at positions 28 to 507 of the family's 1533-position model. The record is from RNAcentral.
GAUGAACGCUGGCGGCGUGCCUAAUACAUGCAAGUCGAGCGAACGGACGAGAAGCUUGCUUCUCUGAUGUUAGCGGCGGACGGGUGAGUAACACGUGGAUAACCUACCUAUAAGACUGGGAUAACUUCGGGAAACCGGAGCUAAUACCGGAUGAUAUUUUGAACCGCAUGGUUCAAAAGUGAAAGACGGUCUUGCUGUCACUUAUAGAUGGAUCCGCGCUGCAUUAGCUAGUUGGUAAGGUACGGCUUACCAAGGCAACGAUGCAUAGCCGACCUGAGAGGGUGAUCGGCCACACUGGAACUGAGACACGGUCCAGACUCCUACGGGAGGCAGCAGUAGGGAAUCUUCCGCAAUGGGCGAAAGCCUGACGGAGCAACGCCGCGUGAGUGAUGAAGGUCUUCGGAUCGUAAAACUCUGUUAUUAGGGAAGAACAUAUGUGUAAGUAACUGUGCACAUCUUGACGGUACCUAAUCAGAAAGCCACAGCUAACUACGUG